AAAAUUUUGGUCCUGGAUUUACCAUUACUUAUACUAAUUUUAUACAUGCAAGCCUCCCCACGCCAGUGAAGAAGUGCAUCAGGGACACCCUAAGACGCAACGCAAGGCCACAUCCACACGGACAUGCAGCAGUAAUUAACAUUUGGCAAUAAGCACACGCUUGACCAAGAUAUAGAACAUAAGAGUCGGCAAAUUUAUGUGCCAGCCGCCGCGGUUACACUGAAGACUCAAGGUAAUUGCCCCGGCAAAAAUGACUAAAACUAACAUCACACAAACUUAAGACUGGGCCCAAGCUUAUACGUUGAACAAAACCAGCAGAACCCCCAAAAAUCUUAACCCUGUGAUUUUUGACUCAUGAAGGCCAGGGAACAAACUGGGAUUAGAGACCCCACUAUGCCUGGCUGUAAAUUACUAGCCAAAAAAGUACAAGUCAACGCUUGAAACUUAAAGGACCUGGCGGUACUCUAUAUCAACCUAGAGGGGCCUGCUCAGUAAUCGAUAAUCCACGAAAAACCUCACCAUCUCUUGCCACCAGCCUAUAUACCGCCGUCUUCAGCACAUUUCACAAAAAAUGAAGCUAAACAGUCUCACACACUAGCACGUCAGGUCAAGGUGUAGCUCAUGAAAUGGAUAGCGCGGACCACAAUACCACAACACACAAAAAUCUUAUUGAAACAUAAGAUGGAAGACGAAUUUAGUAGUAAGCGGGUAGAAUGCCCCGCUGAACCUCCCCGCCCUAGAGUACGCACACACCGCCCGUCAUCCCCUUCAAUAAAUAAAAGGGGCAAGUCGUAACAUGGUAAGUGCACCAGAAGGUGUACUUGGAAGAC
This 830-nucleotide non-coding RNA is filed under the name Draco maculatus. Lineage: Eukaryota; Metazoa; Chordata; Lepidosauria; Squamata; Agamidae. The record is from RNAcentral.